Drosophila arizonae is the source of this 659-nucleotide long non-coding RNA. NCBI's taxonomy places the organism in Eukaryota, Metazoa, Arthropoda, Insecta, Diptera, Drosophilidae. The record is from RefSeq and is a predicted model, not a curated record.
GUGUUAACAGAUCAAACGAAAAUAUUGCAAAAAUCCAAAUUAAAAGUCGCGUUGCAAUGGUGUUAAUUAUGAUGAAUAAAUAAUAAAUCAUACACACACAUACAUGUACACACACACCAGUGCAGUUCUCAGGCAGUAAAAUUUGGCACAGCCAUGCAAAUUCCUUGCUGCACACAAAAAAAAACACAAAAGACUUAGGCAACGAACUUGCGUGUAGCUAUGCAACUACGAGUAUGCGCCUAUAGGCAGCCAGGCCACAGCCCAAAAAACAAAAACAAAAACACUCGGCUGCUGUCAGAGCCGUGUUAAAUUUAUGCAAAUAAAUAAAUCAAAGCCAAAGCCUCCGAGCCUGAGCAGGAGGCGUUCUUGUCGUUGUCGUCGUUGCACGCACUAAAAAAAAAAAAAAAAAAGAAACUAAUCAAAUCACAUUUGAAGUAAACGCCUCAAACAGUUAAGCGAACUGCAGUUUUUAAGGCCGCAUAAAUCAAAUGGUAGGGAAAAGCUAGCAGCAUAAUUGAAUAUGAAAUAUGAAAAAAUAUUUAAAAAUAAAAAAUAAACAUAACUCAAGCUCAUAUCAUGUGCAUAAUAACACAAAAUUAAACGCGCUUUUAAUGGCAACAACAUUGAAAUGAGUUUGUGUCUAAGACUAUACAGAUGCA